UGGGGAAUUUUGCACAAUGGGGGAAACCCUGAUGCAGCGACGCCGCGUGAUUUAGAAGGCCUUCGGGUUGUAAAAAUCUUUUUUACGGGAUGAAAAUGACAGUACCGUAAGAAUAAGGUCCGGCUAAAUACGUGCCAGCAGCCGCGGUAAUACGUAUGGACCGAGCGUUUUCCGGAAUCAUUGGGCGGAAAGGGUACGUAGGCGGCCUAAUAAGUUAGAAGUGAAAGAAUAUAGCUCAACUAUAUAAAGCUUUUAAAACUGUUAGGCUUGAGAGAUGAAAGGGAAAGUGGAAUUCCUAGUGUAGCGGUGAAAUGCGCAGAUAUUAGGAAGAAUACCGGUGGCGAAGGCGACUUUCUGGUCAUCAUCUGACGCUGAGGUACGAAAGCGUGGGUAGCAAACAGG
This 402-nucleotide ribosomal RNA is filed under the name bacterium. RNAcentral describes it as "partial 16S ribosomal RNA". It matches the Rfam family "Bacterial small subunit ribosomal RNA", at positions 355 to 776 of the family's 1533-position model. The record is from RNAcentral.